UACGUAGGGAGCGAGCGUUGUCCGAGUUUACUGGGCGUAAAGCGCACGUAGGCGGACUAUUAAGUUGGUGGUGAAAUGCCGAGGCUCAACCUCGGAACUGCCUCCAAAACUGUUAGUCUUGAGGUAUGGAGAGGGAACUGGAAUUCCAGGUGUAGCGGUGAAAUGCGUAGAUAUCUGGAGGAACACCCAUGGCGAAGGCAGGUUCCUGGCCAUAUCCUGACGCUGAGGUGCGAAAGCUAGGGGAGCGAACGGGAUUAGAUACCCCGGUAGUCCUAGCCGUAAACGAUGGAUACUAGGUGUUAGUGGUAUCGACCCCACUAGUGCCGCAGCUAACGCAUUAAGUAUCCCGCCUGGGGAGUACGGUCGCAAGGUUGAA
Molecule: ribosomal RNA, 376 nt
Filed under: uncultured bacterium
Lineage: Bacteria
Description: bacterial SSU rRNA
Rfam family: Bacterial small subunit ribosomal RNA
Source: RNAcentral